GGUUGUAUAGUGUAGCGGUUAUCACUCCGGAUUCUGAUUUCUUUAGAACAUUCCGGCAACCCCGGUUCGAUUCCGGGUACGACCU
Molecule: transfer RNA, 85 nt
Filed under: Sordaria macrospora k-hell
Lineage: Eukaryota; Fungi; Ascomycota; Sordariomycetes; Sordariales; Sordariaceae
Also listed under: 1 other name
Rfam family: tRNA
About the family: Transfer RNA (tRNA) molecules are approximately 80 nucleotides in length. Their secondary structure includes four short double-helical elements and three loops (D, anti-codon, and T loops). Further hydrogen bonds mediate the characteristic L-shaped molecular structure. tRNAs have two regions of fundamental functional importance: the anti-codon, which is responsible for specific mRNA codon recognition, and the 3' end, to which the tRNAs corresponding amino acid is attached (by aminoacyl-tRNA synthetases). tRNAs cope with the degeneracy of the genetic code in two manners: having more than one tRNA (with a specific anti-codon) for a particular amino acid; and 'wobble' base-pairing, i.e. permitting non-standard base-pairing at the 3rd anti-codon position.
Source: Rfam by way of RNAcentral